UACACUCCUACGGGAGGCAGCAGUGGGGAAUAUUGGCCAAUGGGCGCAAGCCUGAUCCAGCCAUGCCGCGUGAGUGAUGAAGGCCCUAGGGUUGUAAAGCUCUUUCACCGGUGAAGAUAAUGACGGUAACCGGAGAAGAAGCCCCGGCUAACUUCGUGCCAGCAGCCGCGGUAAUACGAAGGGGGCUAGCGUUGUUCGGAUUUACUGGGCGUAAAGCGCACGUAGGCGGACUAUUAAGUCAGGGGUGAAAUCCCGGGGCUCAACCCCGGAACUGCCUUUGAUACUGGUAGUCUUGAGUUCGAGAGAGGUGAGUGGAAUUCCGAGUGUAGAGGUGAAAUUCGUAGAUAUUCGGAGGAACACCAGUGGCGAAGGCGGCUCACUGGCUCGAUACUGACGCUGAGGUGCGAAAGCGUGGGGAGCAAACAGGAUUAGAAACCCCAGUAGUCCCA
This 449-nucleotide ribosomal RNA is filed under the name uncultured organism. RNAcentral describes it as "partial 16S ribosomal RNA". It matches the Rfam family "Bacterial small subunit ribosomal RNA", at positions 332 to 797 of the family's 1533-position model. The record is from RNAcentral.